GAUCAAGUGCCUUAAGGGUAUCCGGUGGAUGCCUUGGCGCUGAGAGGCGAUGAAGGACGUGGUACGCUGCGAUAAGGUUCGGGGAGCCGCGAACAGGCUUUGAUCCGGACAUUUCCGAAUGGGGCAACCCACCUUCGACGACCCUCAUUGCAAGUCCAGGCGGCGGAGCGAUCCGUGGCCUGGGUUUGGAUUGAGUGUCGUCAAUGGAGGUAUUUGAUCCUGAAUUCAUAGGGAUCAAAGGCGAACCCGGGGAAC
RNAcentral lists this ribosomal RNA (255 nucleotides) under Alsobacter ponti. RNAcentral describes it as "partial 23S ribosomal RNA". It matches the Rfam family "Bacterial large subunit ribosomal RNA", at positions 1 to 193 of the family's 2925-position model. Lineage: Bacteria; Pseudomonadati; Pseudomonadota; Alphaproteobacteria; Hyphomicrobiales; Alsobacteraceae. The record is from RNAcentral.